AAGUCGUAACAAGGUUUCCGUAGGUGAACCUGCGGAAGGAUCAUUAACGAACGAGGAAUUCAAUUUACUUGAAUUUCUUGGGAUCAACCAAAACCUGUAUGAUGAUGUAAAUUGUGUAUAUCGAUUAAUACUCGUAUACGAAAAUAAUUUUAAUAAAAUACAAAACUUUCAACAACGGAUCUCUUGGCUCUU
This 192-nucleotide unclassified non-coding RNA is filed under the name fungal sp. RNAcentral's name for it is "partial internal transcribed spacer region". The stretch from base 1 to 46 matches the Rfam family "Eukaryotic small subunit ribosomal RNA", at positions 1786 to 1831 of the family's 1831-position model. The record is from RNAcentral. Lineage: Eukaryota; Fungi.